CCUACGGGUGGCAGCAGUUUUUGCUAUUGCCCCAUGGGGGAAACCCUGAUGCAGCGACGCCGCGUGGGUGAAGAAGCGCCUCGGCGCGUAAAGCCCUGUCAGCAGGGAAGAAAAUGACGGUACCUGAAGAAGAAGCCCCGGCUAACUACGUGCCAGCAGCCGCGGUAAUACGUAGGGGGCAAGCGUUAUCCGGAUUUACUGGGUGUAAAGGGGGCGCAGACGGCGAUGCAAGCCAGGAGUGAAAGCCCGGGGCCCAACCCCGGGACUGCUCUUGGAACUGCGUGGCUAGAGUGCAGGAGGGGCAGGCGGAAUUCCUGGUGUAGCGGUGAAAUGCGUAGAUAUCAGGAGGAACACCGGUGGCGAAGGCGGCCUGCUGGACUGCAACUGACGUUGAGGCCCGAAAGCGUGGGGAGCAAACAGGAUUAGAUACCCCUGUAGUC
This 440-nucleotide ribosomal RNA is filed under the name uncultured bacterium. Its description in RNAcentral is "partial 16S ribosomal RNA". It matches the Rfam family "Bacterial small subunit ribosomal RNA", at positions 338 to 795 of the family's 1533-position model. The record is from RNAcentral.